RNAcentral lists this microRNA precursor (118 nucleotides) under Pelobates cultripes (western spadefoot toad). The record is from RNAcentral. Lineage: Eukaryota; Metazoa; Chordata; Amphibia; Anura; Pelobatidae.
GUCUCUGACUGUGUGUGUGUGUGUCUGACUGUGUGUGUGUCUGACUGUGUGUGUUUGUGUGUCAGACACACACACACACACAGUCAGACACACACACAGUCAGACACACACACAGUCA